UAGACAACAAGCGCCUACAAAUGCAAUGUCCUUUUUUAGCUCAUGAAUCAGAUCGAGAGUUACAAAUCCUUUGCUGCAGAUAAGAUAGCAAAACAGGGUGUCAAAUCUUCUUCCUUCUUCCAUGGGGGGAAAAAGGCGUUUCCUUUUCUUUUCUUUUCCUAUCUUUUCUUUCUGAGGGUACGUUUCCUUCUUUUUAUUGCUACCAAUAAAUCGAGGAGGUACUACAUUAGUAACGAAAUCAGGCAAUGAGCGUGUCAAAGUCUGAAGAAACAGGACAAGAAAUUAAGGCUGGGCGGUUCAGGACAGGCAAAGACUUGCAGAGCCACCCACCCAUCCAUGGAAGCAUUUACUUCAACGCCCUACGGAUCCCCACCAAUAAAUUUCGAGGAAACAACUCUAGCGUACCUGGACUCUCGAGAAGAAAGAGAUUUUCCCAGCAUUUAACUUGGAAACUAUAGGGUGGCAAACUGCAACGAACAGAUGAGUACUUCCUGCCUCUCUCCUCGUGGACGUCGUCGUAAUGCCGCGGACGGGCAGUACUGAACGCAUAUGCUCCCGCUGAACGGGGGCGGAGGGGAUUACCACGCUGUCUGAUCACCCUACUGGGUUGGAAAUGUUACC
This 621-nucleotide long non-coding RNA is filed under the name Brachypodium distachyon (stiff brome). Its description in RNAcentral is "long non-coding RNA (BDIS_LNC001293)". The record is from RNAcentral. Lineage: Eukaryota; Viridiplantae; Streptophyta; Magnoliopsida; Poales; Poaceae.